AGUGAACGCUGGCGGUAGGCCUAACACAUGCAAGUCGAACGGCAGCACAGUGAGAGCUUGCUCUUACGGGUGGCGAGUGGCGGACGGGUGAGGAAUACAUCGGAAUCUACUUUUUCGUGGGGGAUAACGUAGGGAAACUUACGCUAAUACCGCAUACGACCUACGGGUGAAAGCAGGGGAUCUUCGGACCUUGCGCGAUUGAAUGAGCCGAUGUCGGAUUAGCUAGUUGGCGGGGUAAAGGCCCACCAGGGCGACGAUCCGUAGCUGGUCUGAGAGGAUGAUCAGCCACACUGGAACUGAGACACGGUCCAGACUCCUACGGGAGGCAGCAGUGGGGAAUAUUGGACAAUGGGCGCAAGCCUGAUCCAGCCAUACCGCGUGGGUGAAGAAGGCCUUCGGGUUGUAAAGCCCUUUUGUUGGGAAAGAAAAGCAGCAGGUUAAUACCCCGCUGUUCUGACGGUACCCAAAGAAUAAGCACCGGCUAACUUCGUG
RNAcentral lists this ribosomal RNA (492 nucleotides) under uncultured bacterium. Its description in RNAcentral is "partial 16S ribosomal RNA". It matches the Rfam family "Bacterial small subunit ribosomal RNA", at positions 29 to 507 of the family's 1533-position model. The record is from RNAcentral.